UAGCAUAGGAGACUGUAUGGAUCACGUG
Molecule: non-coding RNA, 28 nt
Filed under: Rattus norvegicus (Norway rat)
Lineage: Eukaryota; Metazoa; Chordata; Mammalia; Rodentia; Muridae
Source: RNAcentral